This is a long non-coding RNA of Etheostoma spectabile (orangethroat darter), 258 nucleotides long. RefSeq lists it as uncharacterized. The record is from RefSeq and is a predicted model, not a curated record. The transcript has 3 exons. NCBI's taxonomy places the organism in Eukaryota, Metazoa, Chordata, Actinopteri, Perciformes, Percidae.
AGCUGCAGAAAGGCCAAAAUGAUCUUCUAAUGAAUCAGACGAAAGAGUGUGGGCAUCGAUAUCAUAGCAGCUCAUUGGUCUCAGGAGGUGUUCCCAGAUCUUUAAGAGGAGCGAGGACUGUACAGGACAAGGGUGUUCAGCUUCCCUCCUGAAUCCUGCAGUUGAUGUUACUCCUGUCCAGCUCUCUCAGACUAGAGGACUUGGACUGAGAACUGGGCGAGCUUCACACAUUCUCUCUGACAUGUUACAGCCACUUCC